Molecule: ribosomal RNA, 253 nt
Filed under: uncultured bacterium
Lineage: Bacteria
Description: partial 16S ribosomal RNA
Rfam family: Bacterial small subunit ribosomal RNA
Source: RNAcentral
UACAGGGGGGGCAAGCGUUGUUCGGAAUUAUUGGGCGUAAAGGGCGCGUAGGCGGCUUGACAAGUCAAAGGUGAAAUCCCUCGGCUCAACUGAGGAACUGCCUUUGAAACUGUCUGGCUUGAGGCCGGGAGGGGGUAGCGGAAUUCCCAGUGUAGCGGUGAAAUGCGUAGAUAUUGGGAGGAACACCAGUGGCGAAGGCGGCUACCUGGACCGGUUCUGACGCUGAUGCGCGAAAGCGUGGGUAGCAAACAGG